This 231-nucleotide long non-coding RNA is filed under the name Olea europaea (common olive). Its description in RNAcentral is "long non-coding RNA (OEUR_LNC011507)". The record is from RNAcentral. Lineage: Eukaryota; Viridiplantae; Streptophyta; Magnoliopsida; Lamiales; Oleaceae.
CCUUUAGAUCUACUUGAUCGCUUAUCAAAAACUAAAAUCUAAAUCCCUAAUCAAACAAACCCUAGAUAAGGAAACCAAAAAACAUGAGAAGCCGAUAACGGAGGAGGAAGAUUGGUGUUUUCUUGGUUUUUUUUUAUUUUUCAUUUAUUUUUUAUUAUUAAGGAAGAGUGGUGGUGGUUUUCUUGUUUUGAUGAAGAUUGGUGGUUCUUCUCGUCACUUCGUAGGAAGAGC